UCUUCUCUUCUUUCAUCGAUUCUGCUGUUUCUCUUAUUAUUCUGGGAGCUUAGUUUUUGAUGGGCUGUUUACUUAGAGCAUCUUCUUUCACCGAUUCACUUUUUUUGGGGCUAGAGCAAAAAAAACAUCUUCAGGGUCCUUAGAAUAGGAAGGUCCUAGAGGAGCAAUCGAAGCCCUCAUUCCCACGGGUCCGCAGGGAGUCCCUACUCCGAUUUUCCCUUCGUCUCGCACGCGCGAAGCUUCUUCCUCUAGAUCCCAUUGCCCAUCUGCUGCCGCUCGCUUCCCUCCCGUUUGCCCGCCGGCGGCCGCCGCCUCCCACCUCUCCCCAUGCCUCCUCCCGCCGCUCCUCUCACCUCCUGCCUGCCGCUGCCACGCGCCACGCUCCCGGCGGCCCCGGGAUCCAAAGGUGGCCGGCGAUGGCACUCGGCCACUCCCCCUCCCCGCGCGUCGUCGAUUCCUUGGCCGCCGACACGCCCCGAGCCGCCUUCACCCCGACCUCCAACCGUCCCCUCCCCGCGCUCUGUGCCCCUGGCCGCCGCCGCCGCCAUAGCAGCGCCUCUGGUCACCGUUGCGCAUCGCCGCCGCCACGCGUCCUCCGUCUGCCGCUGCUCUGCUCCCCGCGCAGCCGUGCUGCCCUGCGCCUCCGCGAGGCAGGCCCGCCCCACCCCGCGCGCUGCCCUUGCUCCUGGUCGACCGCAUCGCCGGCCUGCGCCGCCUCUGCCCUUGACCUCGCCCUCCGGCGCCCUUGGCCGCUCCCCUCCUCCUUCCACCUCGUCUCGCCAUCGGCCACCUCUGUGUUCCAUCGAGAAGAAGACGAAGACAAAGAAAAAGGAAGCCUGAUAUUGGGGUUUGAUGCUCCCAGAAAGGAGAAGGGUGGUGGCCCGGCGCCAAGAAUAGGUUCUGGUAUUUUUCUUGCCAUUAUUGGUCCCCCUGUCUGGAUUAUCCUGUUGCUGCUGCAGCUGUGAGGGGGAGCGGGAGGCUAGGCGUUGGGGAGUAUGUAGGGAAUAAGAGAAAAAAAAAAGACAAGGGGUGUAAUGAAAAAGACGUGACCUGUGACAUGCGGCACCCAUAUAUAAGAAAUACCAUUAAAUGCGCUUAAAACAUUGUUUUGGGUGAUGUGAGACACAACAUGUGUGCUUUUGCGGACAAAUUAGUAAAUGUGAGGCUCGUUGAGAAGCCUGCCUCGUAACCUACGGUUGAGGUUAUGUGAAAUUUACUCCAAAAUAUUAAAAGUACUACUACUCGGAGUAAGAGUCGACGACGAUGACGAGCGGCAGCGAGGGAGUCCAGCACUCCACCGGCGGAGACUGGUCCGCCAUCUUCUCGUCCUCCGGCGGUGGGUACUGCUCCUGCUCCCGCCGCUGCAACGGCGACCACGGCUCGUCCUCCCAGACCCAGCCGUUGUCGUCGUCCUCCUCCUCCUCCUCCCAGACCUGCACCCCCACACGGUGCAGGUUCUUCCUCCACGGUGGCCGGAGCAGCAGGAGCGCGUUCUUCGGCGCUCAUGUGCACCGCUCGGGCGAGCUCUGGCCACAUGGCCAGCUCGGCGAGGGCGGACUACUCCUCCGCCUUGCGGAGCAUCUCCGCCUCCUCCGCCAUCUAAAGCAUCAGCGCCACCUCCUCCUUGGAGGCAUCGAUGGCGGCUUGGAGCGCCGUCGUCGUCGUCCUCCUCCUCCUGCUUGACGGCGACGGGCGAGUCCACACCGACGUCGACGCCCUCGCACCGGAGCAGGGCCUUGGACUGGAACUGCUUGUCCCAGUACUAGGACUCCGGCUAGUACAUAUCCAGCUGACGCUCCUUCGGCGGGAGGGCCUGCCAGCACCUCAUGAUCUCGGCCAUGCGCGCCUGGCCGGUGAGCGUGCCACCCGUGAGGGAGGUGGACGUCGGGACAUGGCAUGGGGGUGCCCUGCUCCCAGAAGCUCCUUGCCGUGGCGACGCCAAUGUUGCACCACCCUGCCCGGGAGGGCGACAUCGGCGGCGCAAUGGUGAAGGGCUCCGGCGGCACCCCGCGGGAUGCAGGCAGGAGUGAGCCCAUGUGCCUCGCCGGCGGUGCACUCCUCGCGCGCUGCCCCGACGAGGACGACGCCUCGGCGUCGUGCUUCGUAUUCCGUGUCCAGAAGGGCGGCGCCAUAGGAGCUUGGGACCGGCGGUGAAGUGGGGAAUGGGCUAGGGUUUCGGGAACUCGGUACGAGUGGGCGGUGAAGGGGGGAAUGGGGACGACGCGGUCCCCAUUUAAUAUGACCGUGAAAGGGAGCAUUGGGCUGCUGGCGGGUGGGGACAGGGAAGGCGAAGGGGUUUGACCCCGCAGACCAACCGGACUGCGCGGCGCUCCGUUCCGCGUCCAUGGAGACACAAACCCGCCCCAGAUUUGGGGCCGGAAUGGGUCGACGCGGACCAGAAUCCGGACAGCCGCGCAAAUGUGUCGCCCCGCUGGGGUUGCUCUUACCGGUAAAUGGUCAAGGAUGAGAGGUUCUCUAGUGAUGGGCAAGGUUGAAAGUCACAAAAACAUAGUUCUCCAAACUAAGCCUCUCGGGACAAUCAAAGAACAGAUGCUGAAUAGAUUCAUCAUGGUCACAGAAAACAUAUUUUGUGCAACCAUUUCAAUUUUUCUUAGCCAAAUUAUAUUUUUUUAGCACCACGCCUUGACAUAGGUACCAAGAAAAAAAAUCUUAAGAGGAAUUUUCAAUUUCCAAAUGACUUUGUGUUUUUUGUGAUUACUAGUUUAAUUUAACUUCAUGCGAUGAAUUGUAUAAGUGCUGGUGUGAUAAUGUGACAAGUCGAGGUGAUGACGUUUUGGGUUGAUCUGAUGUAGACACAUCACAGGUUUCAUCAUCGGUUGUAGGCUGUGUUACACCGAAUUAGAAUCCAGAUCAGGUGUCUAUUCAGAAUCCAAGUCGGAACCGGGUGUAUGAUUUGACAAAUUAAGAUAAAUAUGUGAGAAACACAAUGGUUGUAAAGAGUGGUUUACCUACUUAUUUGUUCUUAUUUUAAAAAAUACAAAUGGUUUAUACAUAUUUCUCAUGCUGCCUAUAUUUCGGUUUAUGAUGUCAUAUUUAGGAGUUGAAUCGCUUAGUGAGGAAUUGUCUUUCAUUUUCCUGUUGAGGCUCUGCAGUUCAUUUUCCAUGAGGAAUCAUCCAUGGGAAGUCUUUCUGUGUUAUGUUCUCGAAUAGGGACCCAACGCUGAGGAGGAGCGGAGCUGCCAAUUUGUUUAUCAGAAAUCUUGAGCCAAACAUUGUCACAAAAAGUUUGCGCCAGAUGUUUUUUGGGUUUGGCACUAUUCUUUUUUUACCACUUAUUUAAAUGGCCAAUCAGAUGGAUAUGCAUUUGUCCAGUUUGUAAGUAGCAAUCAGCUAAGGGUGCCUUGAAUGGCGAGUUUGCCAAUGGCAAUAGCAAACAGAUCUUUCUUUCUUUUUGAAACGGAGCAUAUCUAUUUUGACCUAUUCAUUUGUUGCCAAUAGAGGCAGAACAUUGGUGGUGUGAGCAACUACAAAUGUGUACACGAAGAACUUGCCUAAUGAAUUCACUGAUGAUGACUUGUGUCAAGUGUUUGCACCAUUCGUACACUUAGUAGUGCUAUAAUCAUGAAAGAUGAUCGGUCCCUCAAAAUGAUAAUGGGGAAUCCAGAUGUUUUGGCUUUGUUAACUAUGAGAAACCAGGAUAUGUUGUAGAAGCUGUUGAAAAACUCAAUGUGAAAAUCAGCAGUGAUGUGGCCUUAUAUGUUAGAAGAGCUCAAAAAAGUUGGAACGACAAGCUGAGCUGAAAACAAAGUUUGAGAAUGAGAGAAAUGACAAGUUCAGAAAGUUUAGUGGGUGUACUUAAAUAAACUGGACUAAAAUAUUAAUGAUGAAUAUCUUAGAAAUAUAUUUCAAAGGUUUGGUGAGCUAGGUUCAUGCAAGGUAUUAUUUGCUCCUAAUAUAUGUUUUUAAUCUACUUCUAUGUUCUAGUAUCUUGGCUCAACGUGUCUGUAACUGUCUUGGUCAUGGUUGAUUCACAAGGAAAGCCGUAAGUUUAAAAAUAUUCUUCUGUUCAUAUUUAUCACAAAUUUGCUAUGUUUCCUUUUUGCUCCCUUUUAAGUGGUUUUGAUUAUUUAAUGAUUAUGGCAGAUUAACGAAAUGUAUGGGAAACUGGUCGUCACAAAACUAUUAUAUGUCUGUGUAGAACAAUUACCACUAGCGGUAAGUGGUAAUUCUUCUUCUGUAAGGUAGCUGGCUUCAUCUAAUAGUUAGCCACUUUCUUGUUUGAACAUGUAUACAUUUUAGUGAACCGUGUACCCUUGUUUACUGUACUUGAGGACGCUUACUCGCUUAAUCUCUAGUUAUUUUUUAUGCACGAACCAAUUUAUUUUGUUGUAAAGUUGUGUGCCCUGUACUAGCUAGAACUGGUGAGCGGUAAUCAAGUAUGAGUCAGUUUAGUUUGAUAAGCUAUGACAACGAGCUUAUGUUUUUGACACUACAAAUAAAGUUAAGUUAUGUCACUUAGUUUAAUUUGAUGAGCUAUGACAAAGAGAUUAUGUGUUUGACACUGCAAAUAAAGUUAAGUAAGUUAUGCCACUCAAUUUAAUUUGAUGUGCUAUGACAAAGAGAUUAUGUGUUUGACACUACAAAUAAAGUUAAGUAAGUUACAUCACUAAAGCUGCCACAUGUUUUUGGGUAUACGUGCUAGAAAUGUAUACAAUAAUGUCCUUUCUGAAUUUUUACAAAGCUUAUGUUUCUACAACAUUGUUGUUGCUAGGCACAGUUUGUUUGCUCGUCAUCACAAUGUGUAGGUUCUAUUCAAGGAUUGAACCCAAUUUAUCUCAUUGUAAAGUUGUGUGCCCUGUACUAGCUAGAACCGGUGAGCCGUAGUCAAGUGUGAGUCGGUUUAACUUGGUGAGCUAUGACAAAGAGAUUAUGCGUUUGACACUGUCAAAUAAAGUUAAGUUAUGUCACUCUGUUUAACUUGGUGAGCUUAAAUAAAGUUAAGUAAGUAAUGUCACUCAGUUUAAUUUGAUGAGCUAUGACAAAGAGAUUAUGUGUUUGACACUUCAAAUAAAGUUAAGUAAGUUUUGUCACUGAAGCUGCCAGAUGGUUUUGGGUAUAUACGUGCAAGAAAUGUGUACAAUAAUGUCCUUUUUGAAUUUUUACAGAGCUUAUGUUUCGACCACUUUGUUGUUGCUAGGCACAAUAUGUUUGCUCGUCAUCACAAUGUGUAGGUUCUAUUCAAGGAUUGAACCCAAUUUAUUAGGUUGUAAAGUUGUGUGCCCUGUCGUAGCUAGAACCGGUGAGCGGUAAUCAAGUAUGAGUCAGUUUAAUUUGAUGAGCUAUGGCAAAAAGAUUAUGUGUUUGACACUGUCAAAUAAAGUUAAGUUAUGUCACUCUGUUUAGUUUGAUGAGCUAUGACAAAGAGAUUAUGUGUUUGACACUGCAAAUAAAGUUAAGUUAUGUGACUCAGUUUAAUUUGAUGAGCUAUGACAAAGAAAUUAUGUGUAUGACACUGCAAAUAAAGUUAAGUAAGUUUUGUCACGGAACCUGCCACAUGGUUUUAGGUAUAUACGUGCUACAAAUGUGUACAAUAAUGUCCUUUCUAAAUUUUGACAAGCUUAUGUUUCGUCCACUUUUUUGUUACUAGGCACAAUUUGUUUUCUCGUCAUCAUAAUGUGUAGGUUCCAUUCAAGGAUUGAACCUAAUUUAUUCUGCUGUAAAGUUGUAUGCCCUGUACUAGCUAGAACCGGUGAGCGGAAGUCAAGUAUGAGUCAGUUUAAUUUGAUGAGCUAUAACAAAGAGAUUAUGUGUUUGACACUAUCAAAUAAAGUUAAGUUAUGUCACUCUGUUUAACUUGGUGAGCUAUGACAAAGAGAUUAUGUGUUUGACACUGUCAAAUAAAGUUAAGUAGUUAUGUCACUUUGUUUAACUUGGUGAGCUAUGACAAAGAGAUCAUGUGUUUGACACUGCAAAUAAAGUGAAGUAAGUUAUGUCACUCGGUUUAAUUUGAUGAGCUAUGGCAAAGACAUUAUCUAUUUGACACUGGAAAUAAUGUUAACUAAGUUUUGUCACUGAAGCUGCCACAUGUUUUUGGUAUAUACGUGUUAGAAAUGUGUACAAUAAUGUCGUUUCUGAAUUUUGACAGAGCUUAAGUUUUGACCACUUUGUUGUUGCUAGGCACAAUUUGUUUGCUCGUCGUCACAAUGUGUAGGUUCUACUCAAUGAAUGAACCUGGAGCAGCCAGUUCCAUAAAUCCAUAUGGCAUGCUGUCGAGACCAAUCCAUCAUGGCCAGAGUUCAGGUGAUUGUCGUGGAGGAGGAAUGCAUCUGCAACAUCAGGUGUUUUUGUUUUAUAAUCCUCAAAACAACAAAUGAUCUUGCAAAGUGUACUUCACAUUUUUGCACAUGCCUACUAGUCACUUCACUUGACAUACUGUGCUCUUUACUAUAUGCAGAUGGCUCGCCCAGCAAAUGGAAACCACUGCGUCAGGCACAUACUAAACCUAAAUGCUUGAAAUGGAGCUACCGACAGUGCAAGGGCUCCACAACAGGGCUUCGUGGCUCCCAUGGCGCCUCAGGGAUCCGUGCAAACUGAUAGAGUCACCGCCCCAUCCAUUCCAGAGAAGCGAAAGAUAGAAAACCUUACCACUGCUCUAGCUUCUGCUGAAAUGGAAAAGCAACAUCUGCUAAAGGAUGAUACAAACUCUAUUUUUCUGCUCUUGGAGAGUGCAAAAUGUUAUGAGGAUUUUCAGUUUGGUCAUAUUUUUCUUGUGUUUGCAGAUUCUGGGCAAGAUGUUGCAGCCACUGCUUGAACAACUUGUUGGAAAUAGGUGGCAAAUGGGCCAAAGCAUGAACCCAAAUGACAAUUAAUAAAAAAUCUCUAAAACCAUUUAGUUAUUGACAUGAGGGAGAAUGAGAAUAGAAUGAGAAAAAAAUCUCUAAAACCAUUUAUGACGAGGACAUCUCUAGUCCUUUGUCAUCAACUCCAAUUGAUGAUGUUGCUGCACAGGACAAGCCCAAUGAAAUUAAACUUUGGCCAAUAACAAGAGCACUUGCAAAACUACUUGAACAACAGGUGAAUUCAUUCUUAAUUGAAUCUGAUAUUUUUAUUGAUGAGAGCUUUAUACUACCUAAAUCUAUGCAUUUAUGUAUGAUCAGAUUUAAAGAUGACUCAAGUAUUGCACGUGGAGGAGGAGAGUUGCAGCAAGAUCCAUUGCCAUUGAUUUCCUAUAUCAAGAAGAGCGUGAGGGAGGCCGGCGCACCACAUGAAGAGGAGGAAAUCAACUAAGCGCACGUUGAGGGAUAUGUGACACACAUAGGGGUGCUUACGACAUGUUAUUUUGCCUAAGUGUGUGCACGAUGAGAGUUGGGCCCGCGUGCCCCUAGUUUGGGCUGAACCCAACGUUUUGGGUUAGUUUGUAUCAAGUGGGUUGAACCAAAUUCGAGUCCGAGUCCAAUUAAGUUGCUGGACAUCCACCCACCUAUAUAAGUUGAGGGACGCCCAAGAUUAGGGUUAGACCAUGUUUAGAUUAUUGAACCUUUCGUUGAACUGUUGCAAGCAUUCAUCUGAAAUUAUAUUCCUCUUUAAUUCGAUCAGAAAUUUUACCUUCA
RNA transcript from Brachypodium distachyon (stiff brome), 7571 nucleotides. RefSeq lists it as uncharacterized. The transcript is spliced from 3 exons. NCBI's taxonomy places the organism in Eukaryota, Viridiplantae, Streptophyta, Magnoliopsida, Poales, Poaceae. The record is from RefSeq and is a predicted model, not a curated record.